RNAcentral lists this ribosomal RNA (491 nucleotides) under Psococerastis sp. KY313. RNAcentral describes it as "partial 16S ribosomal RNA". Lineage: Eukaryota; Metazoa; Arthropoda; Insecta; Psocodea; Psocidae. The record is from RNAcentral.
GUCUUUUUGAUUAAAUAAUAAGUCCCAUCUGCUCCUGAGUAUUUAAAGAGCCGCAGUAUAUUGACUGUGCAAAGGUAGCAUAAUCAAUAGUUUUUUAAUUGAAAACUAGAAUGAAAGAUUAGACGAGGGUUAUAUUUUCUUUAUUUUAAUAGAUUUAAUUUUAAUUUUGAGUGAAAAUGCUUAAAUUAUUUUAAAAGACGAGAAGACCCUAUAGAUUUUUAUUGUUGAUGUUUAAGUUAAGAUUUUAUUUAGAUAAGAUAAUUUAAUUGGGGCGAUUUUAUAAAAUAAUAAACUUAAUUUUUUUUUUACCAUAAAUAAGUGAAUUUUUUGAUCUAAAAAUUUUAAAGAAAAGAUUAAAUUACCUUAGGGAUAACAGCGUAAUUUUAUUUAAGAGUUCAUAUCUAUAAUAAAGUUUGCGACCUCGAUGUUGAAUUAAGUUAAUAUAUUGAAGCAGAAAUUAAUAUAAUUAGUCUGUUCGACUAUUAAAUUCU